AUGGUUUAUAGAAAGCACCUAACAUUCUACCCUUUAUUAAUAAAUACACUCGAAAGCCUAGUGACACCUGGGAAAAAGCCUCCACAGUGCAAAAGAGAUUCCAGUGGUCUCAGAUGCCUGAGGCCCAUUUCUCCAGGACAUGAGGUUUUCAAUGCUAAAGUGUGGCAUGUUCAAGGACACAUGGCACAGUCUGAUAGAGCCAUGGGUAAUAACAAGCUGGCUGCAAAGAAGAGCACAGAAGAGGACGGUGGAACAGGCAUUGUGCAGAAUUCCCUUCUGGCAAGAGAAACCAAGAGAGCAACUUCAUCACACCGAUUCUUUCACGCUCCGGCAGCUUGUGACUCUCAUUAGCCAGGCCCAACUGAAACACGAUGGCCAGGUCAUCUAAUCCACAUGUACCAUGGGAAGACAGGACAGAGGGACACAUCUUUGAUGAUGGAGAGAGCAGUGUAGAAGAAGCCACAUCCUUGAUCCAGGGUACGAAGGAACAGGAUGAUGUUUGUUUAGAACAUGAAGUUGAUUGGAAUAAAAUGUAUUGAGUAAUAUUAAUAAGCAGAAUCAAUAUUAAAAUUCCCUCAUGGUUUGGAAAGGACUCAUCUUCUCGUGAAUAUUGGACUUUGGUUGGGAUGUUGUCUGGAGACAGAGAGCAAAGAACAGGUCCUUGGUCCUGGGUGUCCUCAAAGGUUUGCUAGGUGACUGAUGCUUCCCAUGAUGCCAGCCUUCAAAAUGAUUCCAAAUGAUCCCUUAGUGAUAUGCACUCCACUUUUCCCCAGAGCCGGUCUAUAAACCAACAGAACCCAACAGAAGCCAUGAAGUGUCACUUCUGAGGUAACAAAGUUAUAGUAGCCUCUCUCCAUCUCUUUCCCUCUUCUUCCCGCUUUUUUUUCUUCCUUUCUGUCCUAACCAAGGUCUCCUCCUCUUUCCUCUUCCCCCAUUUCUCCUUCUCACCUUCCUCCCCCCUCUCUCCCUUCCUUCCUUUCCAUUGGCCUGGGAAGCUGCUUCAGAAGAAGUGGGACCUCCUGAGAGACCCACUUAAUGAGUUGCUGAGGCUUCCUGAUACCAUUUCACAGAAAAGCUUGGAAAUUGAUUUAUGACCUAUUGAACCUUCAGAUGAGAUGGCCACCCUCCUGAC
RNAcentral lists this long non-coding RNA (1132 nucleotides) under Cricetulus griseus (Chinese hamster). Its description in RNAcentral is "lncRNA (ENSCGRG00000024777.1)". Lineage: Eukaryota; Metazoa; Chordata; Mammalia; Rodentia; Cricetidae. The record is from RNAcentral.